Long non-coding RNA from Octopus bimaculoides (California two-spot octopus), 588 nucleotides. RefSeq lists it as uncharacterized. The record is from RefSeq and is a predicted model, not a curated record. Lineage: Eukaryota; Metazoa; Mollusca; Cephalopoda; Octopoda; Octopodidae.
AACUGCGUUUCAUGUUUAAUUAGUUUCAACGAGUUUUCUCUCAUUGUCUUUUCGUUUACCAAGAAUAGUCAUUCAGAUUAUGAUUUUCCUUGCCAUUAUGGGUAUAAUCUUACCCAAACAACAUUUUUUGGUUUACUUCAUCAAAUUUGGCAAUAACCACUUCAUUGUAUGUAGAUAGCAGAAGAUGGAGUUGAAAGAUUUACUGACGUCAAGGGUAGAUUGAAUAUUGAAUGUAUGAGCUGUUUGCUUGUUAAUAAAACCAAGUCAUCAAAAUUGAAAAUCUAUGUUCGACAUUAUUUCAAAUGCUUGACAUACCAGAGUUAGCAUUUUCGUCAAAUCAGCGGACAAAAUUACAAAUUCUGAAAGCCCAGUUGUACAGAAAUUAUAAAUUCUAACUUAUUCCAUGUUAUGAAAGAUUCCAACAAGAAUACACUGUUCUGACAAAUCAUGAAAACUGAUGAUUCUGAUAAAUCCUAAUUGGUGUCAGUGUAAAGUUCUAUUAGCUCAAGGUCAUCAGAUUUGAAAUUUCAAUAGUUUUUCACUUCUCAAAAUUAAAAAUUAUUCGAAUAAAAGAUUAUCAAAAGAUCA